This 290-nucleotide ribosomal RNA is filed under the name uncultured bacterium. RNAcentral describes it as "partial 16S ribosomal RNA". It matches the Rfam family "Bacterial small subunit ribosomal RNA", at positions 333 to 623 of the family's 1533-position model. The record is from RNAcentral.
UUAGCCUACGGGGCGCAGCAGUGGGGAAUAUUGCACAAUGGGGGAAACCCUGAUGCAGCGACGCCGCGUGAGUGAAGAAGUAUUUCGGUAUGUAAAGCUCUAUCAGCAGGGAAGAAAUAGCGACCUUUGGGUCGCCAGACGGUACCUGACUAAGAAGCCCCGGCUAACAACGUGCCAGCAGCCGCGGUAAUACGUAGGGGGCAAGAGUUAUCCGGAUGUACUGGGUGUAAAGGGAGCGUAGACGGCAGCACAAGUCUGAAGUGAAAUGACGGGGCUUAAAACCGGAACUG